This 510-nucleotide unclassified non-coding RNA is filed under the name uncultured Glomus. Its description in RNAcentral is "SSU rRNA". It matches the Rfam family "Eukaryotic small subunit ribosomal RNA", at positions 569 to 1081 of the family's 1831-position model. Lineage: Eukaryota; Fungi; Glomeromycota; Glomeromycetes; Glomerales; Glomeraceae. The record is from RNAcentral.
AGCAGCCGCGGUAAUUCCAGCUCCAAUAGCGUAUAUUAAAGUUGUUGCAGUUAAAAAGCUCGUAGUUGAAUUUCGGGAUCAAUUUGCUGGUCGUGCCUCUGGUACGUACUGGUAUUAUUGGUUUCUCCCUUCUGACGAACCAUGAUGUCAUUAAUUUGAUGUCGUGGAGAAUCAGGACUGUUACUUUGAAAAAAUUAGAGUGUUUAAAGCAGGCAUUAGCUUGAAUACAUUAGCAUGGAAUAAUGAAAUAGGACGUUUGAUCCUAUUUUGUUGGUUUCUAGGAUUGACGUAAUGAUUAAUAGGGAUAGUUGGGGGCAUUAGUAUUCAAUUGUCAGAGGUGAAAUUCUUGGAUUUAUUGAAGACUAACUACUGCGAAAGCAUUUGCCAAGGAUGUUUUCAUUAAUCAAGAACGAAAGUUAGGGGAUCGAAGACGAUCAGAUACCGUCGUAGUCUUAACCAUAAACUAUGCCGACUAGGGAUCGGAUGAUGUUAAUUUUUAAUGACUCAUUC